This 406-nucleotide ribosomal RNA is filed under the name uncultured bacterium. RNAcentral's name for it is "partial 16S ribosomal RNA". It matches the Rfam family "Bacterial small subunit ribosomal RNA", at positions 29 to 526 of the family's 1533-position model. The record is from RNAcentral.
AUUGAACGCUGGCGGCAGGCCUACCACAUGCAAGUAGAACGAGUGGCGGACGGGUGAGUAAUGUCUGGGAAACUGCCUGCUGGAGGGGGAUAACUACUGGAAACGGUAGCUAAUACCGCAUACCAUCGGAUUCGCCCCGCAGGGAUUAGCUAGUAGGUGGGGUAAUGGCUCUCCUAGGCGACGAUCCCUAGCUGGUCUGAGAGGAGGACAAGCCACACUGGAACUGGGACACGGUCCAGACUCCGACGGGAGGCAGCAGUGGGGAAUGUUGCACAAUGGGCGCAAGCCUGAUGCAGCCAUGCCGCGUGUAUGAAGAAGGCCUGCGGGUGGUAAAGUACUUUCAGCGGGGAGGCUUUACCCGCAGAAGAAGCACCGGCGAACUCGGUGCCAGCCGCCGCGGUAAUUC